CUGUAAGCCUGUGAAGGUGUGCUGUGAGGCAUGCUGGAGGUAUCAGAAGUGCGAAUGCUGACAUAAGUAACGAUAAAGCGGGUGAAAAGCCCGCUCGCCGGAAGACCAAGGGUUCCUGUCCAACGUUAAUCGGGGCAGGGUGAGUCGACCCCUAAGGCGAGGCCGAAAGGCGUAGUCGAUGGGAAACAGGUUAAUAUUCCUGUACUUGGUGUUACUGCGAAGGGGGGACGGAGAAGGCUAUGUUGGCCGGGCGACGGUUGUCCCGGUUUAAGCGUGUAGGCUGGUUUUCCAGGCAAAUCCGGAAAACCAAGGCUGAGGCGUGAUGACGAGGCACUACGGUGCUGAAGCGACAAAUGCCCUGCUUCCAGGAAAAGCCUCUAAGCAUCAGGUAACAUCAAAUCGUACCCCAAACCGACACAGGUGGUCAGGUAGAGAAUACCAAGGCGCUUGAGAGAACUCGGGUGAAGGAACUAGGCAAAAUGGUGCCGUAACUUCGGGAGAAGGCACGCUGAUAUGUAGGUGAAGCGACUUGCUCGUGGAGCUGAAAUCAGUCGAAGAUACCAGCUGGCUGCAACUGUUUAUUAAAAACACAGCACUGUGCAAACACGAAAGUGGACGUAUACGGUGUGACGCCUGCCCGGUGCCGGAAGGUUAAUUGAUGGGGUUAGCGGUAACGCGAAGCUCUUGAUCGAAGCCCCGGUAAACGGCGGCCGUAACUAUAACGGUCCUAAGGUAGCGAAAUUCCUUGUCGGGUAAGUUCCGACCUGCACGAAUGGCGUAAUGAUGGCCAGGCUGUCUCCACCCGAGACUCAGUGAAAUUGAACUCGCUGUGAAGAUGCAGUGUACCCGCGGCAAGACGGAAAGACCCCGUGAACCUUUACUAUAGCUUGACACUGAACAUUGAGCCUUGAUGUGUAGGAUAGGUGGGAGGCUUUGAAGUGUGGACGCCAGUCUGCAUGGAGCCGACCUUGAAAUACCACCCUUUAAUGUUUGAUGUUCUAACGUUGGCCCGUAAUCCGGGUUGCGGACAGUGUCUGGUGGGUAGUUUGACUGGGGCGGUCUCCUCCUAAAGAGUAACGGAGGAGCACGAAGGUUGGCUAAUCCUGGUCGGACAUCAGGAGGUUAGUGCAAUGGCAUAAGCCAGCUUGACUGCGAGCGUGACGGCGCGAGCAGGUGCGAAAGCAGGUCAUAGUGAUCCGGUGGUUCUGAAUGGAAGGGCCAUCGCUCAACGGAUAAAAGGUACUCCGGGGAUAACAGGCUGAUACCGCCCAAGAGUUCAUAUCGACGGCGGUGUUUGGCACCUCGAUGUCGGCUCAUCACAUCCUGGGGCUGAAGUAGGUCCCAAGGGUAUGGCUGUUCGCCAUUUAAAGUGGUACGCGAGCUGGGUUUAGAACGUCGUGAGACAGUUCGGUCCCUAUCUGCCGUGGGCGCUGGAGAACUGAGGGGGGCUGCUCCUAGUACGAGAGGACCGGAGUGGACGCAUCACUGGUGUUCGGGUUGUCAUGCCAAUGGCACUGCCCGGUAGCUAAAUGCGGAAGAGAUAAGUGCUGAAAGCAUCUAAGCACGAAACUUGCCCCGAGAUGAGUUCUCCCUGAGACUUAGAGUCUCCUGAAGGAACGUUGAAGACGACGACGUUGAUAGGCCGGGUGUGUAAGCGCAGCGAUGCGUUGAGCUAACCGGUACUAAUGAACCGUGAGGCUUAACCUUACAACGCCGAAG
This 1719-nucleotide ribosomal RNA is filed under the name Escherichia coli. RNAcentral describes it as "partial 23S ribosomal RNA". It matches the Rfam family "Bacterial large subunit ribosomal RNA", at positions 1241 to 2925 of the family's 2925-position model. The record is from RNAcentral. Lineage: Bacteria; Pseudomonadati; Pseudomonadota; Gammaproteobacteria; Enterobacterales; Enterobacteriaceae.